Molecule: ribosomal RNA, 301 nt
Filed under: uncultured archaeon
Lineage: Archaea
Description: bacterial SSU rRNA
Rfam family: Archaeal small subunit ribosomal RNA
Source: RNAcentral
GUGCAGCAGGCGCGAAAACUUUACAAUGCUGGCAACAGCGAUAAGGGGACCUCGAGUGCCAGGAUACAAUCUUGGCUGUCGUGAUGCCUAAAAAGCAUUACAUAGCAAGGGCCGGGCAAGACCGGUGCCAGCCGCCGCGGUAACACCGGCGGCUCGAGUGGUAACCGCUAUUAUUGGGUCUAAAGGGUCUGUAGCCGGCCGACUAAGUCUCUUGGGAAAUCUGGCAGCUCAACUGUCAGGCUUUCAGGGGAUACUGGUCGGCUCGAGACCGGGAGAGGUGAGAGGUACUUCAGGGGUAGGG